GUACUAAGAUGUUUGAGCUUUAUUUUCGGGUUUUGAGAUGUUUGAGCUUUAUUUUCAACUUUGCUGCAAUUCCUGCAAUUUAGAAAUCAAGGAAUUCAAGCCCAAUGAAUGAACCCCAUAAUUUGCCUCAACACUUUGAACAAUAUAUAUUUUAAGAUAACAAUAUAUUCAAGUUACCAUCCAAAUGUUGGCAUUUGCCUGAAAUAUACUCUUGAAGAAGAGAGCUUUUCUCUGAGACAUAGGUACCUGUAUUCUUUUUUUACCUUAUCUUUUAUUGGACUAGUUUGCUAACCUUUUGUUGUCAUGGUUUAUGUAUAAGAUAAUUUGAAAAUUUGCUUGUUCGAAUUUAAAAAGCUGCUACAGUUUAAAGAAAUCUUUUGUCCCAAUUCUUGAUUGCUGGUUUUAUCUUUUAUGAUGGUGAGCUUUAUUUUCAGGUGCAAUGAUGUUUGAGAUCCAAGGUAUUCUUUUUCUAUUUUUUUUGCUUUUUCAUGGUUUCAAUAUUGGUCUUAGUAAAAUAAAAGAAUUGACAUAUGGGCAGAAAUUGUGGGGAUAAAUGGACAUCAUAAGAAAAGCAACAAAGAUAAUAGAUUUACCUAUUCCAUUGUCUAAUUGAGAAUCAAUUACACUAGAUUUAAUCCUGUUUUUCUUUUGGGUUUUGGUCAAGAUCUGGUUGCAUAAGGUUGGCCGUUGUCAAACCUGCAAGUCCAAAUCAAAUUUUGCUAAUAGCAGAGUCAAAUAGCAUGGUACUGAGACAUUGUGCAUUGGAGAUUUUUCUGUUAUCUGUUUUCUGCACUUACCUUACCCCAUACUAAUAUGAUUUUCAUGGGAUUAUGUGCACUAUAUGAGAUCUGGAGGUAAUUGUGAGUACGUAUUAUACGAUCCGAAUGACACAAAAACAGUUUAUGAUUUGAGUUGCAGUAUUUAGUUCUCUACUAGCUAAUCGUUACAUUAUUAGUGGACCAUGAAUGGUCAGGUCUCUUCAAUUAUAUGGGGAAUAUAAUGCCCUCAUUCAAGUUUAUUAAGUAUUGUAUUGUUUCACAUGUUCUGAAUAUUUACGUACAUUUAACCUUUAACUAAAGGAAAACCUUGGUGCAGUAUCAUCAAACCCUUAGUGAAAAUGUCCAUUAGUGCCAUUCACAUAUUUCUUUGUGAUGUUUCUGUUUCUUGACGGUUCUUCAGCGAAAUUGAAGCAUUUCUCAUAAUAUGCCCCUCUUGUGCUCUCUUUGCAUAAAUAAUGUCAUAAUAUGAUGAAAACUAUGGGGUGCAUGCCCCCCCACGUCAGAUCGCAGCAUUGACAUUUGCUUCAGUAACCCUGAUGAUCAGGUACCCAAUCUUCAUUUCUCCUCUAAAUUUAUGAAAUAACCCAGUUAGUCUUUUCUUUGUUGCCGUUGUGCCUUAGAUUUCUCUCCCAUUUUAUUGAUUUUUUCCCUGACUUCUCAUUUAUGGUAUUGCCACUAUGGUUUUGUUUUAAAGACGAAUGACAUUUGAUACAACAAUUUACAGAGCUGUUACCUUCAGGAAAUCUAUGCUACCAAUUUGUCUUUGUUGGUUUCAUCUUGUCAGGUGUUUGAGCCUUGUUUAGGAAAUCUGUGGUAAAUAAAAUUUGUGUUUGUUUGUAGAGUUUUCAUUUACUUGUUCCCUGCACUUAUCCAAAUUUCAUACUAGUAUGAUUUCAUCGAGAACUUGGGUUGAAGAAAGAGAAGUUAUAAUUUUUAAAGUAUACUAUAUACUUUUUAUGAGAUCUUGAGGUAGUGUGAGCGUUGUGUAUGGAUUAGAAUAGAAUGCCCAGCAAGAAGCAGUGGUUUUUUAUUAUUUAUUUUUAAGUUGCCGUAUCAGGUAAAUAAAAUUGUGUAGAGCUCUGGUUAGAGUUUAUUUGGUAUUGUAUUUCUUCACCCCAAAAACAUGGCUUUGUAUUUUAGCACUGCA
This 1926-nucleotide long non-coding RNA is filed under the name Prunus dulcis (almond). Its description in RNAcentral is "sRNA ncRNA". Lineage: Eukaryota; Viridiplantae; Streptophyta; Magnoliopsida; Rosales; Rosaceae. The record is from RNAcentral.